RNAcentral lists this ribosomal RNA (253 nucleotides) under Madagascaria erythrocladioides. RNAcentral's name for it is "partial Bacterial large subunit ribosomal RNA". It matches the Rfam family "Bacterial large subunit ribosomal RNA", at positions 1157 to 1413 of the family's 2925-position model. The record is from RNAcentral. Lineage: Eukaryota; Rhodophyta; Compsopogonophyceae; Erythropeltidales; Erythrotrichiaceae.
UCCUGCGCCGAAGAUGUACCGGGGCUCAAGCCGUGUACCGAAGCUGCGGACGUGUCUUUGACACGUGGUAGCGGAGCGUUCCGUAGGCCGUUGAAGGUGAACCGCAAGGUUUGCUGGAGGUAUCGGAAGUGCGAAUGCUGACAUGAGUAACGAGACGAGUGUGAGAAACACUCGCGCCGAAAGUCCAAGGGUUCCUGCUUAAAGCUAAUCUGAGCAGGGUGAGCCGGCCCCUAAGGCGAGGCCGAAAGGCGUA